RNAcentral lists this transfer RNA (72 nucleotides) under Candidatus Woesebacteria bacterium RBG_16_39_8b. Its description in RNAcentral is "tRNA-Arg". It matches the Rfam family "tRNA". Rfam says of the family: Transfer RNA (tRNA) molecules are approximately 80 nucleotides in length. Their secondary structure includes four short double-helical elements and three loops (D, anti-codon, and T loops). Lineage: Bacteria; Candidatus Woeseibacteriota. The record is from RNAcentral.
GCCUCUGUAGCUUAAUGGAUAAAGCAACAGUCUUCGGAACUGUUGAUGAGGGUUCGAUUCCUUCCAGAGGCA